AAUGAACGCUGGCGGCAGGCCUAAUACAUGCAAGUCGAGCGCCCCGCCAGGGGAGUGGCUGAUGGGUCAGUAACGCGUGGGAACGUACUUUCUGGUUCGGAACCACCCUGGGAAACUGGAGCAAAUACCGGAAAAGCCCUCACGGGGAAAGAAUUAUCGUCGAAAGUUCGGUCCGAGACUGAUUAGCUAGUUGGCGAGGUAAUGGAUCACCAACGCGACGAUCAGUAGCUGGUCUGAGAGGAAGGGCAGACACACUGAGGGUGGGAUACAGUCCGGACUCUUACGGGAGGCGGCAGUGGGUAAUAGUGGACAAUGGGGGCAGUCCUGAUCCAGCCAGGCCGCGUAAGUGAUGUAGUCCUUAAAGAUGAAAAGCGCUUUUGUCCAUGAAGGUAAUGACGGUACCGGAAGAGUAAGCCCCGGCUAACUUCGUG
RNAcentral lists this ribosomal RNA (431 nucleotides) under uncultured bacterium. RNAcentral's name for it is "partial 16S ribosomal RNA". It matches the Rfam family "Bacterial small subunit ribosomal RNA", at positions 29 to 507 of the family's 1533-position model. The record is from RNAcentral.